AGUGAACGCUGGCGGUAGGCCUAACACAUGCAAGUCGAACGGCAGCACAGUAAGAGCUUGCUCUUACGGGUGGCGAGUGGCGGACGGGUGAGGAAUACAUCGGAAUCUACUUUUUCGUGGGGGAUAACGUAGGGAAACUUACGCUAAUACCGCAUACGACCUACGGGUGAAAGCAGGGGAUCUUCGGACCUUGCGCGAUUGAAUGAGCCGAUGUCGGAUUAGCUGGUUGGCGGGGUAAAGGCCCACCAAGGCGACGAUCCGUAGCUGGUCUGAGAGGAUGAUCAGCCACACUGGAACUGAGACACGGUCCAGACUCCUACGGGAGGCAGCAGUGGGGAAUAUUGGACAAUGGGCGCAAGCCUGAUCCAGCCAUACCGCGUGGGUGAAGAAGGCCUUCGGGUUGUAAAGCCCUUUUGUUGGGAAAGAAAAGCAGCAGGUUAAUACCCCGCUGUUCUGACGGUACCCAAAGAAUAAGCACCGGCUAACUUCGUA
This 492-nucleotide ribosomal RNA is filed under the name uncultured bacterium. Its description in RNAcentral is "partial 16S ribosomal RNA". It matches the Rfam family "Bacterial small subunit ribosomal RNA", at positions 29 to 507 of the family's 1533-position model. The record is from RNAcentral.